UGCCAGCAGCCGCGGUAAUACGGAGGGGGCUAGCGUUGUUCGGAAUUACUGGGCGUAAAGCGCAUGUAGGUGGUGUGGCAAGUUAGAGGUGAAAGGCCUGGGCUCAACCUGGGAACUGCCUCUAAUACUGUCACGCUAGAGUUCGGGAGAGGGUAGCGGAAUUCCAAGUGUAGAGGUGAAAUUCGUAGAUAUUUGGAAGAACACCGGUGGCGAAGGCGGCUACCUGGACCGACACUGACACUGAGAUGCGAAAGCGUGGGGAGCGAACAGGAUUAGAUA
RNAcentral lists this ribosomal RNA (279 nucleotides) under uncultured bacterium. RNAcentral's name for it is "partial 16S ribosomal RNA". It matches the Rfam family "Bacterial small subunit ribosomal RNA", at positions 506 to 784 of the family's 1533-position model. The record is from RNAcentral.